UCCACCGGCAGCUUAUCCAUUCCCGUUCUCCACCACCGGGCGUACGCGUCGUCCAAGCCCAAGAAUAGAACGAGGCGUCGCAGCAGGGGUUGUCUGCGGUCCACGUGAGCGAGGCGAGGGGCGGCCCGAGACGGUCGAUAGUGGCGCUGUCGUCGUUGUCCGCGAGGUAGAGGGUGGCGGCGCCGGUCGCAGGGAGGACGGGGGCACCGGCGGCUGGUGAACUCGGAGGCUGCGGCUGUGCGACGACGUCCGUGGUGGUGGCGACAGCUACGACGACGCGACCACGAUGCGGCAGGGGAUGGAGGCUUCCUCGCCUGGGCUCGGGCGCGUCAGCACGGCGUCGGGCCGUUGCCGGUGGCGUCGAGGCCGGCGCACGCACGGACAGGGCGCCCAAGGGUGAGCCGCCGCGACGUGUGGGCGGGCUGAGCCGGGCGUUCAACCACGAUGCGGCGGGGAUGAAAGCCGCCUUGCCGGGGCUUGCGGGGCAGCACGGCGUCGGGCCGUUGAGCAGAUCUUCUCCAUCCACGAGUCCAACUUCCUGUUUGGCGCGCAGGCGCUGGAGCCGGCAGGGGCGUGCUCUGCGGGGCACGCUCGCCGCGGCCGUGCUGGUCAGGCUCGAGCGCUGACUGCGGGAGCUGUCCGGGAACCCCGAGGCCCGCGUAGUGGACUACUUCAAGCAGGGUCCGGCGCCGGAUGGUUCCUGGCGGCUGCGUUGUUCGCGCGCCGGAUGCCGGCGGAGGCGGCGUGCGACGUCGUGGCCAAGAACCGCAAGGUGUUCUCCGGGCGCCACGGCCGCGGUGGGUUCUUCUCCGGGGCCGAUGCAGGUUUUGUAAUUGCUUGAAGUUGUCCAGUUCAGAUGUCCAUACACUUCAAUGAAAUACCCUCAGCUGCUUUCCAAUCUGAGAGUUGAAUCGAAGGUGUGCAUUUGAACCCGUGAAAUUAUUAUUUUGUUUUUUCGUAUCUCAUCAGUUUUUUGAUUCUUAGAUUGAAGAGAUCCUACGGAAUUCUACAACAUCUGAAUUUGGUAGUGUAUAUUAUUUUUCGGAGAGAGGUGAUUGAAUGAUUGAUCUUGAUGUGUUCCAUCAAAAGCUUAUCUAGGUUGCUUGUUCAGUCCUGUUCAUAUUGGGUUUGAGAUUAUUAUGUUCUUCAAGUUGCUUCUCUUGAUGUUUAGAUGUCUCAAGAACUGCGCACACAAUUGAGCGAGUCUGAGAAAGGAGAGCUAAAAGAAUCGUUCCAUCAUAUGCUGAAAUGGGCCUGGAGAUAUAAUAAAUAUCUUGAAGAACAGGCAGCCCAGCUUCACAUGUUAACUAGCUGGUCGAAAACUGUUGAAGUGAGUUGUGUGUGUGCAUGACCACUUAAUCUUUUCUGUUGGGAAUUUCAUAUUGUAACCCGCUUAUUGUUAAUUUCAGGUAGCUGUAUCAAGAAGUAAUAAUUUUAAGACAUUGAAGUUCAGAACCUCUAUUGAAACUCUUUCGUAGUAUUAUAUGAACUUCUGUAUUUGAACUCUUUCAUAGACGUUUAUACUGAGGUUGCUCUUCUAUAGACAUUUAUAGAGGUUGCUCUUUUAUAGACAUUUCGAAGCAAGCCGCUAAGCCCAAGUCUCGAAUCAGGAUUGUCGUCGUUCGUCAGUCCCAAUGCAGCUAGGAGAUUGUGGCGGCAGCGGUGGGUUUUGGGUCGGCGAGCUGCAGGGAUUUGCUGGACGCACGCCAUCACAUGUCGAGCCACACAUAGUGACCGAUGGUGGCGGAUUAGAGUUGGAAUUCAAGAGGUUUGUGUGGUUUCAGUUAUCCGAUGAUUGGGCGAGAGCGGAGCAACAGAGGCCGGCCAAGAACAUGACCAGGGAUAACACAUCUUGCUUGAUUUCCCGAGCGACCCAAGGUUGGUUGCAUCCUGCAUGACCUCAUAUUGUUCAUGAGAGUUUUGUGAUGUUCUUUUUUUAGAGAAGUUUUGUGAUCUUAAUUCAUGAGACAUUUGACGUGAUACUAUGUGGCUGUAAACGUAAUCUGCAAUUCAGAGCAAACAGAGUGAACAAACCAAGGACAUGCAGGUUAGUCCGUUAGUGUCUUA
Triticum aestivum (bread wheat) is the source of this 2067-nucleotide RNA transcript. RefSeq lists it as uncharacterized. The record is from RefSeq and is a predicted model, not a curated record. The transcript is spliced from 3 exons. Lineage: Eukaryota; Viridiplantae; Streptophyta; Magnoliopsida; Poales; Poaceae.